Sorghum bicolor (sorghum) is the source of this 2370-nucleotide RNA transcript. It is a transcript of the gene named coiled-coil domain-containing protein SCD2, with no coding region annotated. The record is from RefSeq and is a predicted model, not a curated record. NCBI's taxonomy places the organism in Eukaryota, Viridiplantae, Streptophyta, Magnoliopsida, Poales, Poaceae. The transcript has 17 exons.
AGCGUGCUCUCCCCCACUUCCUUCCCACUCUCCCUCGUUCCCGGCCUCGCCAUCUCCGCGCCGUGGCCGCCCGGCGGCCCAGAUCCCACCGGCGAGCCACAGCAUGGACCGUCUCCGGGCGGGGAGCCCCGUCUACGGGCGGCAGCGGAGCGGCAGCAGCACGGGCUCCUCCUCCCCGGGCGGCGUCUCCCCGUCGCACCACCGCUCCUCCUCAACCUCCUCCGCCGCCUCCGCCGCGGGCGCGGCCGGCAUAUCCAACGUCCGCCGCACGCAGAACGUCGCCGCGCGCGCCGCGGCCGCGAGGCUCGCGCAGGUCAUGGCCUCGCAGAACGCUGCCGCGGCCGCCGGCGACGACGAUGACGACGACGACUACGCCGCCGACCACCCGCCGCCGCCCCCUGGGAGGUUCGGAAGUGGCAGGGUAGCGCACGGCAGCAACGGCGUGUCCCUGCUUGGACGCUCCGCGAGAUCUCCCUCCCCUGCGUUAGGUCGGAACAUUGUAGAGCCACCUCCUACCGUCCGCUCAUCAUCGGCAGGCAGGCCAGCUGUUGCAUCACGACCGACCACCACAGUGGUGCCACCGAUCAAAACCAACACAACACUGCGAACCCCAUCCCCUAUUCCACCUGUGUCUGUGGAGCCUCCAGUGGAUCGCACUCGGCCGAAAAGAUUUGAUGCGGGGCUUCAUAACUCGAGAGAAUCAGGACUAAAAAGAGAGGCAUCCACGCUUCACGAUGAGCUUGAUAUGCUACAAGAGGAGAAUGAAAGUGUUCUAGAAAAGUUGCGACUUGCUGAAGAAAGAUGUGAGGAAGCUGAAGCUAGAGCCAAGGAGCUUGAGAAACAGGUAGCUGCUCUUGGAGAAGGAGUAUCAUUAGAAGCUCGCCUCUUGAGCAGGAAGGAAGCAGCACUUAAACAGCGGGAGGCCGCACUAAAAGCUGCAAGAGAAUCAAAGGAUGGUAGAGAUGGGGAAGUAACAACAUUAAGGCAUGAACUUGAGUCUGCCAAAGAAGAGGUUGCAUCAGCAAUGGACCAGCUAAAGGAGGCAGAGUCUGAAACGAAGGCUCUCAGAUCUAUGACUCAGAGAAUGGUCUUAACUCAAGAAGAAAUGGAGGAGGUCGUCCUAAAAAGGUGCUGGCUUGCACGCUAUUGGGGCUUAGCAGUUCAAUAUGGUGUGUAUCCUGAAAUUGCGGUAUCAAAAUAUGAACAUUGGUCAUCAUUGGCUCCUCUUCCUCUCGAGAUUGUUCUUUCUGCUGGUCAAAAAGCUAAGGAGGAACCUCGAAAACAAGGUGAAAAUGGUCAGGGGAGAAAUAAACUUGCACGAGAAAUGAGUGAUGUGAUGGGAGAAGGCAAUAUAGAGAGCAUGCUUUCAGUUGAAAUGGGCCUUAGAGAGCUUUCUUCAUUGAAGGUGUUACAUUCACUUCAUUUUGUUUCUAACCAAGGCAACGCUGUGGUAGCUGUUACUCAAAUGUAGAGGCAAGCUUCUGCGUAAGAAAAACCAUGAGGGAAGACAUAAACUCUCCUAAUAUCCUGAAACUGUUGGUGGAAGAUGCUGUUGUAGUUGCACUUGGCCAACAUCGCAGACCUAGCAUAGUUCGUCAGUUCACAUCAGAUUUCAAAUCACCUGGUGAACCUAAAUACUUGGAGGCAUUUGAUCUUAGCCCAGAAGAGGCUGAAGAUGUUAGCUUUAAGCAGGCCUGGCUUAUAUACUUCUGGAGAAGAGCCAAAACUCAUGGUGUUGAGGAAGAUAUUGCUGAUGACCGGCUUCAGUUUUGGAUUGGGCGCAACGCACAAGCUCCAAAUUCUCAUGAUGCUAUAGAUGUGGAGAGGGGUCUAACAGAGCUGAGGAAAUUGGGCAUAGAGCAGCAAUUGUGGGAGGGCUCGCGAGCAGAUAUAGAUCAAGCUUCUUUGGCGAUGGAGAAUCAGUAAGAAUUUGCUAAUUUUCCAUGGCUGUGUAUCAUCCCAGUUUUGGAGAAACGGGAACUUUGGUUCCCAGCAGGUCUCGGCCCUUUGCAUCAUCAAGUAUCAGUCACAGAAUAGUGCUCCGAGCUUGGGGUGUGACCGAUGGACUUUGUCCAAAUUCCGAUGAGUUUGUGUAGUGCAUGUGCAAGCCAUUCUUCUGUUGUUAUUAAAAUAGCUUUGUGAAAUGUGUAAUAGCUUUGCGUUGGCAAGAGAAAACGAUGACAACGACGACCUCACUUCCAGCAAUUGUGAAUUCUGUGAUUAUCCCACCUUGUUUAUUCUCUGCUGUCGAGCUCAACUUCUCCGCACCAAGGAACGUGCGUGUUCCUGCAACAAUAUUGAACGAGAUGAUUUUGUAUAAUUCUCUGGGUAGUAUGAGUUUUAACAUUCUAUAAAACCAUCCCUGUUCAA